RNAcentral lists this ribosomal RNA (479 nucleotides) under uncultured Glomus. Its description in RNAcentral is "SSU rRNA". It matches the Rfam family "Eukaryotic small subunit ribosomal RNA", at positions 569 to 1052 of the family's 1831-position model. Lineage: Eukaryota; Fungi; Glomeromycota; Glomeromycetes; Glomerales; Glomeraceae. The record is from RNAcentral.
AGCAGCCGCGGUAAUUCCAGCUCCAAUAGCGUAUAUUAAAGUUGUUGCAGUUAAAAAGCUCGUAGUUGAAUUUCGGGAUCAUCAGGUUGGUCGUGCCUCUGGUAUGUACUGAUCUCGGUGGUUCCUACUUCUUGAAGAACCGUAAUGCCAUUAAUUUGGUGUUGCGGGGAAACAGGACUGUUACUUUGAAAAAAUUAGAGUGUUUAAAGCAGGCAAUCGCUUGAAUACAUUAGCAUGGAAUAAUGAAAUAGGACGUUCGAUCCUAUUUUGUUGGUUUCUAGGAUUGACGUAAUGAUUAAUAGGGAUAGUUGGGGGCAUUAGUAUUCAAUUGUCAGAGGUGAAAUUCUUGGAUUUAUUGAAGACUAACUACUGCGAAAGCAUUUGCCAAGGAUGUUUUCAUUAAUCAAGAACGAAAGUUAGGGGAUCGAAGACGAUCAGAUACCGUCGUAGUCUUAACCAUAAACUAUGCCGACUAGGGA